CGGUCGCAAGGCUGAAACUGUGCGCCAUUUCACGAUAUAUUAGGCCCGCGCCCCCAGAUCAAAAUGAUCAGGCAACAGGCGCCGUGCGAGUUGCAAAUCACGCACGUAAUGCUAGCAGCUCAUCCGACGCUAUAACCAAAAGCAAUCCGGCGAAAGCCUAGGGGAGUAUAGCAUGCUGCUAAACGGAGACACGGAUACAAGCACAUAUAUCGAGGCCGUCUUCGGAGCAACCAGUCGUUCAUAGGUUCUAUCUCUGAGUCUACUGCGGGUCUGCCUUCCCGAAGCAGUCAAACUGCUUAAGAGUAGGGGGUCUCCUCAGAGUUUCGGGGGAUCCCAUAAAGCAACCGCUCAUCAGAAACACCAAAGGUGUGCAAUGACUCGAACCUAAAAACGACACUGACCUAAAUAUCGGAACUUGGGGUCCCUGGUAUUCGCCGCCGGGGACGGAUGCCUGAUAGUAGCUUAACGCGCUAAGCAGGCAAGUAUCACUACUCCAUCAAGAACAUUCUGUACCCUCCCGGAGCAUCGUGUCUCUUAUGAUAGAAAUCAAGCCUCCGGAGAUAGGAGGAGUUUAUAAGUUCCAAAAAGAAAAAAAGAAGAGUUAUCAUGACAAAAUGCAAUUACGAGCAACUACUAGACCCCGAGAUAUUUAGGCUAGCUUACGAGCUAAAGAAAUCGAAAUCAGGCAAUAUGAAACCUGGUGCGGAUAAAGAAACUCUCGACGGUUUCUCCCAAGCCUAUGUUGAGAAGGUCGUCCGUCAACUAAAAGACGAAUCAUUUCAAUUCCGUCCGUCACGAAGAGAAUUCAUUCCUAAAGCAGACGGCAAGCUUCGUUCCCUGGGCAUACCAUCACCUAGAGACAAGAUAGUACAAGAGGUCAUGAGGAGGAUCCUUGAACCUGUAUUUGAACCGCGAUUCCUGGAUUCGUCUCACGGAUUUAGACCUCAUCGAUCACCGCACACGGCUCUACGACAAAUCCGUCGAUGGACAGGCACCUCCUGGAUGAUCGAAGGAGACAUCAAAGGAUACUUCGACAACAUCGAUCAUCACCUACUCGCGGGAUUCAUAGCAGAGUUGGUAAAGGACCAACGGCUUCUCGCCUAUCAACACGGUCGCCCGUAAACUGGGGCUUAACACAGCCAAAGUAAUAAAACGCUUCGGCGUGGACCUAAUCUUCCGGGACCACACGAAUGAGAUCAAGCAUAAGCUCAAUUUCCCGCGAUCCCUACCUAAUAAGCGCAUGAACUUCGCCUUGAGUCCGCCUUCGGACCCUAGAGUUCUAUUUGAUACAAGCUGCGCUCGCAUUCAGUGUUGAACGACCUGUGUCAAGUAUGCGGCUCCUACGAACAGGUGGAGAUGCACCACAUAAAAAGACUAAGCCGCGAUAACGCGGUUUCACUAGGUUGAUGGUCUAAUUGAAUCGUAAACAACUCCCGGUCUGCCGUAACUGUCAUAGGAAGAUUCAUAGAGGGGAAUACAACGGAAUGAGGCUGGAACGAUUACUCGCAAGGAACAAAAGACAUCUUGAUUAGUUAGUGACAGGGAGAGCCAUAUGCCGGGAAACUGGCACGUAUGGUUCGGAGGGAGGUAUAUGUCUUCCACAUGGGAGAUGGGUACCGACCCUACCAAAGGAAUUGACG
RNAcentral lists this non-coding RNA (1640 nucleotides) under Marchantia polymorpha (common liverwort). Lineage: Eukaryota; Viridiplantae; Streptophyta; Marchantiopsida; Marchantiales; Marchantiaceae. The record is from RNAcentral.